CCCCUCUUCAGACAAAAUAUCACUGGAAUGAGUAUCCUAUAAAUGCAGAGCUUCGACACACGAAGAACGAAAUAUAGAACUUGGCGAAGGGAUAAGAAAGAAUAAGAUGAUUCAGUAACCACAUUUCACUGCCCAACUUACACAGUGCUGCAUGAGACUGGAAGAUGAUUAUGAAUUCUGGAUAGUUAAAGAUAUGAAAGGAGGCUGUCAUACCAAAGGAAACGGUCGAUAAAAUUCAUGAUUCGUACGCGAGA
Zootermopsis nevadensis is the source of this 254-nucleotide long non-coding RNA. RefSeq lists it as uncharacterized. NCBI's taxonomy places the organism in Eukaryota, Metazoa, Arthropoda, Insecta, Blattodea, Termopsidae. The record is from RefSeq and is a predicted model, not a curated record.